This 75-nucleotide non-coding RNA is filed under the name Hymenobacter gelipurpurascens. RNAcentral describes it as "Fluoride sequence". It matches the Rfam family "Fluoride riboswitch aptamer (crcB RNA motif)". Lineage: Bacteria; Pseudomonadati; Bacteroidota; Cytophagia; Cytophagales; Hymenobacteraceae. The record is from RNAcentral.
CCAUAACCCGGUGAUGGGGUACCACCAUAAACCGCCGAAGCUCCAGGGCUUUGCGCUGAUGACUCCUGCGUUGCC